GAAUAUUGGCCAAUGGGGGGAACCCUGAUCCAGCCAUGCCGCGUGUGUGAAGAAGGCCUUUUGGUUGUAAAGCACUUUAAGCGAGGAGGAGGCUCCUCUAGUUAAUACCUAGAGAUAGUGGACGUUCCUCGCAGAAUACGCACCGGCUAACUCUGUGCCAGCCGCCUCGGUAAUACAGAGGGUGCAAGCGUUAAUCGGAUUGACUGGGCGUAAAGCGCGCGUAGGGGGCCAAUUAAGUCAAAUGUGAAAUCCCCGAGCUUAACUUGGGAAUUGCAUUCGAUACUGGUUGGCUAGAGUAUGGGAGAGGAUGGUAGAAUUCCAGGUGUAGCGGUGAAAUGCGUAGAGAUAUGGAGGAAUACCGAUGGCGAAGGCAGCCAUCUGGCCUAAUACUGACACUGAGGUGCGAAAGCAUGGGGAGCAAAC
RNAcentral lists this ribosomal RNA (423 nucleotides) under uncultured bacterium. RNAcentral's name for it is "bacterial SSU rRNA". It matches the Rfam family "Bacterial small subunit ribosomal RNA", at positions 359 to 773 of the family's 1533-position model. The record is from RNAcentral.